AUUACUCCUACGGGAGGCAGCAGUAGGGAAUAUUGCACAAUGGGGGAAACCCUGAUGCAGCGACGCCGCGUGAGUGAUGAAGGCCUUCGGGUCGUAAAGCUCUGUCGUAUGGGACUAACACAAUGAAGGUACCAUGCAAGAAAGGAUCGGCUAACUUCGUGCCAGCAGCCGCGGUAAUAAU
This 181-nucleotide ribosomal RNA is filed under the name uncultured bacterium. Its description in RNAcentral is "partial 16S ribosomal RNA". It matches the Rfam family "Bacterial small subunit ribosomal RNA", at positions 332 to 526 of the family's 1533-position model. The record is from RNAcentral.